Molecule: ribosomal RNA, 382 nt
Filed under: Chloroflexota bacterium
Lineage: Bacteria; Bacillati; Chloroflexota
Description: bacterial SSU rRNA
Rfam family: Bacterial small subunit ribosomal RNA
Source: RNAcentral
ACGGAGAGUUUGAUCCUGGCUCAGGAUGAACGUUGGCGGCGUGCCUAAUACAUGCAAGUCGAACGGUCGCAAGACAGUGGCGCACGGGUGAGGAACACGUAGCUGACCUGCCCUCCAGAGGGGGAUAACGUCGCGAAAGUGACGCUAAUACCCCAUAAGCUCACAGGCUCUAGAGGCCUGCGAGAAAAGCUCCGGCGCUGGAGGAGGGGGCUGCGGCCCAUCAGCUGGUCGGUGGGGUAACGGCCUACCGAGGCAACGACGGGUCGGGGGCCUGAGAGGGUGGCCCCCCACACUGGGACUGAGACACGGCCCAGACUCCUACGGGAGGCAGCAGUAAGGAAUAUUGCACAAUGGGCGCAAGCCUGAUGCAGCGACGCCGCGU